UCGAGGGGCAGCAUGGUCUUAGCUUGCUAAGACUGAUGGCGACCGGCGCACGGGUGCGUAACGCGUAUGCAACUUGCCUCACAGAGGGGGAUAACCCGUCGAAAGACGGACUAAUACCGCGUACACUCUAUGUUGGGCAUCCAAUGUAGAGGAAAUGAAMUUCGCUGUGAGAUAGGCAUGCGUCCCAUUAGCUAGUUGGUGAGGUAACGGCUCACCAAGGCGACGAUGGGUAGGGGAACUGAGAGGUUGAACCCCCACACUGGUACUGAGACACGGACCAGACUCCUACGGGAGGCAGCAGUGAGGAAUAUUGGUCAAUGGGCGAGAGCCUGAACCAGCCAAGUCGCGUGAAGGAUGACUGUCUUAUGGAUUGUAAACUUCUUUUAUACGGGAAUAACAAGAGCCACGUGUGGCUCCCUGCAUGUACCGUAUGAAUAAGCAUCGGCUAACUCCGUGCCAGCAGCCGCGGUAAUACGGAGGAUGCGAGCGUUAUCCGGAUUUAUUGGGUUUAAAGGGUGCGUAGGCGGCCUGUUAAGUCAGCGGUGAAAUCUAGGAGCUUAACUCCUAAAUUGCCAUUGAUACUGGCGGGCUUGAGUGUAGAUGAGGUAGGCGGAAUGCGUGGUGUAGCGGUGGAAUGCAUAGAUAUCACGCAGAACUCCG
Molecule: ribosomal RNA, 660 nt
Filed under: uncultured bacterium
Lineage: Bacteria
Description: bacterial SSU rRNA
Rfam family: Bacterial small subunit ribosomal RNA
Source: RNAcentral